This 226-nucleotide non-coding RNA is filed under the name Halobacteroides halobius. Its description in RNAcentral is "T-box sequence". It matches the Rfam family "T-box leader". From Rfam's summary of the family: Uncharged tRNA acts as the effector for transcription antitermination of genes in the T-box leader family. T-boxes are found upstream of many aminoacyl-tRNA synthetase genes and some amino acid biosynthetic genes usually in Gram-positive bacteria. Lineage: Bacteria; Bacillati; Bacillota; Clostridia; Halanaerobiales; Halobacteroidaceae. The record is from RNAcentral.
AUAAAGGUUGUGAUAGAAUUAAGUAGUUUAACCUCUUGUCUUCAAGGGAGAAAAUACUAUUAACUGAGAGUAUUUUUAAGACAAUGUUAAGCGAAUUCAUUCUGGAGCUAUUUAACUGAAUUAAGUAAGUUAAAUCGGUUUUCUACCGUUAUCAAGAAUCAAGCGAGCUUUAGUUAGCUAACUAAGGUGGUACCGCGGAAGUAAUCCACUAUCUUUCGUCCUUAAU